CCUACGGGAGGCAGCAGUGGGGAAUAUUGGACAAUGGGGGCAACCCUGAUCCAGCCAUGCCGCGUGUGUGAAGAAGGUCUUCGGAUUGUAAAGCACUUUAAGUUGGGAGGAAGGGCUUUAGGCUAAUACCCUGAAGUUUUGACGUUACCGACAGAAUAAGCACCGGCUAACUCUGUGCCAGCAGCCGCGGUAAUACAGAGGGUGCAAGCGUUAAUCGGAAUUACUGGGCGUAAAGCGCGCGUAGGUGGUUCAGUAAGAUGGGUGUGAAAUCCCCGGGCUCAACCUGGGAACUGCAUCCAUAACUGCUGGGCUAGAGUACGGUAGAGGGUAGUGGAAUUUCCUGUGUAGCGGUGAAAUGCGUAGAUAUAGGAAGGAACACCAGUGGCGAAGGCGACUACCUGGACUGAUACUGACACUGAGGUGCGAAAGCGUGGGGAGCAAACAGGAUUAGAUACCCUGGUAGUCCACGCCGUAAACGAUGUCAACUAGCCGUUGGGAACCUUGAGUUCUUAGUGGCGCAGCUAACGCACUAAGUUGACCGCCUGGGGAGU
This 551-nucleotide ribosomal RNA is filed under the name uncultured bacterium. RNAcentral describes it as "bacterial SSU rRNA". It matches the Rfam family "Bacterial small subunit ribosomal RNA", at positions 338 to 881 of the family's 1533-position model. The record is from RNAcentral.